CUAUACAUGCAGUCGAGCGAACUGAUUAGAAGCUUGCUUCUAUGACGUUAGCGGCGGACGGGUGAGUAACACGUGGGCAACCUGCCUGUAAGACUGGGAUAACUUCGGGAAACCGAAGCUAAUACCGGAUAGGAUCUUCUCCUUCAUGGGAGAUGAUUGAAAGAUGGUUUCGGCUAUCACUUACAGAUGGGCCCGCGGUGCAUUAGCUAGUUGGUGAGGUAACGGCUCACCAAGGCAACGAUGCAUAGCCGACCUGAGAGGGUGAUCGGCCACACUGGGACUGAGACACGGCCCAGACUCCUACGGGAGGCAGCAGUAGGGAAUCUUCCGCAAUGGACGAAAGUCUGACGGAGCAACGCCGCGUGAGUGAUGAAGGCUUUCGGGUCGUAAAACUCUGUUGUUAGGGAAGAACAAGUACGAGAGUAACUGCUCGUACCUUGACGGUACCUAACCAGAAAGCCACGGCUAACUACGUGCCAGCAGCCGCGGUAAUACGUAGGUGGCAAGCGUUAUCCGGAAUUAUUGGGCGUAAAGCGCGCGCAGGCGGUUUCUUAAGUCUGAUGUGAAAGCCCACGGCUCCACCGUGGAGGGUUC
RNAcentral lists this ribosomal RNA (594 nucleotides) under Priestia aryabhattai. Its description in RNAcentral is "bacterial SSU rRNA". It matches the Rfam family "Bacterial small subunit ribosomal RNA", at positions 49 to 624 of the family's 1533-position model. The record is from RNAcentral. Lineage: Bacteria; Bacillati; Bacillota; Bacilli; Caryophanales; Bacillaceae.